RNAcentral lists this unclassified non-coding RNA (124 nucleotides) under uncultured fungus. RNAcentral describes it as "sequence contains ITS1". The record is from RNAcentral. Lineage: Eukaryota; Fungi.
AUCUUUUAAUUACUUAUUUUAAGUAAAAUAUUAUGUUAUUUUCAAAAGUGUGGGGUUUUAAAUACGCGCAAGCCAGGCUUGCUUAGAUUCAAUAAUGAUCCUUCCGCAGGUUCACCUACGGAAA